AAUUUUGGACAAUGGGCGCAAGCCUGAUCCAGCCAUGCCGCGUGAGUGAAGAAGGCCUUCGGGGUGUAAAGCUCUUUCGGACGGAAAGAAAUCGCGCAGGCUAAUACCCUGCGCGGAUGGCGGUACCGGCAUAAGAAGCGCCGGCUAACUACGUGACAGCAGCCGCGGUAAGGAGGAGGGAGCGAGCGUUAGUCGGAAUUACGGGGCGUAAAGCGUGCGCAGGCGGUUGAUUAAGACAGGCGUGAAAUCCCCGGGCUUAACCUGGGAACUGCGCUUGUGACUGGUCAGCGAGAGUACGGCAGAGGGGGGUGGAAUUCCACGUGUAGCAGUGAAAUGCGUAGAGAUGUGGAGGAACACCGAUGGCGAAGGCAGCCCCCUGGGCCGAUACUGACGCUCAUGCACGAAAGCGUGGGUAGCAAACAGG
This 424-nucleotide ribosomal RNA is filed under the name uncultured bacterium. RNAcentral describes it as "partial 16S ribosomal RNA". It matches the Rfam family "Bacterial small subunit ribosomal RNA", at positions 360 to 776 of the family's 1533-position model. The record is from RNAcentral.